CCUGUUCCCAUCUCGAACACAGUAGUUAAGCUCGUAAACGCCGAAAGUACUUGGCUGGAGACGGCCUGGGAGGAUAGGAAGUCGCUGAUU
Molecule: ribosomal RNA, 90 nt
Filed under: Veillonella sp.
Lineage: Bacteria; Bacillati; Bacillota; Negativicutes; Veillonellales; Veillonellaceae
Source: RNAcentral